Molecule: long non-coding RNA, 706 nt
Organism: Oncorhynchus mykiss (rainbow trout)
Lineage: Eukaryota; Metazoa; Chordata; Actinopteri; Salmoniformes; Salmonidae
Source: RefSeq, a predicted model, not a curated record
GUUCUUUCACCAGUCAGUAUUUUUUUUUUUACUGUGUUUAUGUAUAGACAAUACUGUUAUGUUGUCUCGUUCCAAGUUUGCUGUUUUAUUCAAUGUUUCACCUGCUUCUCAUCUCUCAGCAUCUCUGUUACACUUCAUUAGGUUACGUUAGCUAGGUAGCGUACGAACUACUGCAGAGCCGGAGGCAAACGACAUGACUGUUCUAUUUAGUCUGAUCCCAUCAAUCUGUAGAGGCAUCAACAACAAGCUCAGCACCAGGAACUAGUGAGACUUGCAAGUACAAACAAAUAUUCUGCAAGAGGUUGAGUAGUGGGUGGUGAAGGGAGUGUAUGAGAGGUUUGUCCACCUGGCUGUGGAGUGCAGAAAGGACCAGACGGUUGUCUACAAGGAGCCAGAGUCACUGCCCCCCAAUCCCAACAUCCCUGCCAACAUCACCACAGCCUAAACCAGCUGCCAUUACCAAACACAAGAAGAGUUUCACCAGCUGAAGAACAUUCUGGAACUUGCCUGGAACAUUCAACCAACACAACAUUCAUAGUCAGACUGAUAUUGUAGUAUAAUAUAGAAACCCUAGUAUGCUCACAACUGAAUUUUGGUAUAGAAAGUGCUAGCUGUUGUACAAAUAUAUAUAUUUAAACACAACAUGUAAAGUGUUGGUCCUAUGUUUCAUGAGCUGAAAUAAAAGAUACCAGAAAAUGUCCAUAUA